AUUGAACGCUGGCGGCAGGCCUAACACAUGCAAGUCGAGCGGAUGAAGGGAGCUUGUUCCUGGAUUCAGCGGCGGACGGGUGAGUAAUGCCUAGGAAUCUGCCUGGUAGUGGGGGAUAACGUCCGGAAACGGGCGCUAAUACCGCAUACGUCCUGAGGGAGAAAGUGGGGGAUCUUCGGACCUCACGCUAUCAGAUGAGCCUAGGUCGGAUUAGCUAGUUGGUGGGGUAAAGGCCUACCAAGGCGACGAUCCGUAACUGGUCUGAGAGGAUGAUCAGUCACACUGGAACUGAGACACGGUCCAGACUCAUACGGGAGGCAGCAGUGGGGAAUAUUGGACAAUGGGCGAAAGCCUGAUCCAGCCAUGCCGCGUGUGUGAAGAAGGUCUUCGGAUUGUAAAGCACUUUAAGUUGGGAGGAAGGGCAGUAAGUUAAUACCUUGCUGUUUUGACGUUACCAACAGAAUAAGCACCGGCUAACUUCGUG
RNAcentral lists this ribosomal RNA (484 nucleotides) under uncultured bacterium. Its description in RNAcentral is "partial 16S ribosomal RNA". It matches the Rfam family "Bacterial small subunit ribosomal RNA", at positions 30 to 507 of the family's 1533-position model. The record is from RNAcentral.